UGUAAAACCUGUCUGUUCUCAGAGUAGAGCAGAAGGAGAAGGCAGUUGUGAGGAAACUGCUAGCAUGUAAUGUAGCAUCUGUCUUGUCUUGUUUUUGCAAUAUGAAGAAUGGAAGAAGACGACGUUUCUAUCAGAGAGCAGAACUUCCACAGCCAAGUUCGAGAAUACAUUAUCUGCUCCCUCCUGU
This is a long non-coding RNA of Notothenia coriiceps (black rockcod), 187 nucleotides long. RefSeq lists it as uncharacterized. Lineage: Eukaryota; Metazoa; Chordata; Actinopteri; Perciformes; Nototheniidae. The transcript has 3 exons. The record is from RefSeq and is a predicted model, not a curated record.